This 274-nucleotide ribosomal RNA is filed under the name uncultured bacterium. Its description in RNAcentral is "partial 16S ribosomal RNA". It matches the Rfam family "Bacterial small subunit ribosomal RNA", at positions 523 to 796 of the family's 1533-position model. The record is from RNAcentral.
AUACGGAGGGUGCAAGCGUUACUCGGAAUUACUGGGCGUAAAGCGCGCGUAGGCGGCUAUAUAAGUCGGAUGUGAAAGCCCUGGGCUCAACCUGGGAACUGCAUUCGAUACUGUAUAGCUAGAGUUUGGUAGAGGGAAGUGGAAUUCCACAUGUAGCGGUGAAAUGCGUAGAUAUGUGGAGGAACACCAGUGGCGAAGGCGACUUCCUGGACCAGAACUGACGCUGAGGUGCGAAAGCGUGGGUAGCAAACAGGAUUAGAAACCCUAGUAGUCC